CCCCUUUGCGCUCAGUCAGUGACAGACCUGGGUCCUUUCACGCUUUGUCCUCCCUCUUUCUUUCGUUCUUGCUCGCGCUCCCUCUCUCUCUCUUUUUUAUCUUCCUUCCUUUUCCUACUCCUUGUUUCUUUCUCUCCCUGGCUUUUGUGCGGGGGGCCGUGACGAAUGGCUGAGAAAAGAGGGUGCUGUGAGAAACUGGAGCUGCGCUGGCGGAGUGGGUGCUCUUUCAUCAUCUGCCUGCCUCCCUCCAGCUUCCCCGUGGUUCCUCCAAGGCUCCUUUGUGGCUGUAAUCAAAGCCUGGAAUUUUGCUUGAAUUACGCAGAGCUCGGAGUGUGAGCAGCCCAGCACCAUGGUGGGGCUUCUCUCCAGUGGAGAGGUUGGAGAGGAAGCUGCCGAAAAUGCUGGUGACAAUUCCCAGCCUGCCUACGGGGCUGGGCGACCACCUGGGCAGCGGCACCCACCUCCCUCCCAGCCCCACCACCUCCUUCUUGUGCCCUCCUGGUGAGGCUGGCGUGGGGGCAGAGGGCACCUCCUUGCCCAGGGUGCCUGCCCAGGACACCAGGGCACUGCGUCCCUCACCCCGAGGGAAAACGAAGUGUUGCCUGAGCUCAUCUGCUGCAGUUUGUCAUUCGAGGAGCUGGUGAGCAGAUGAGGUGGUGGAGAUCCCAUCAGGCUCCUUCCUCCUGGAGGCUGGUGCCUGGCUUGGAGGAAGGCUCUUGGGGCAACUGCUGCCCAGUCGCGGCUGCUGCCUGCUCCUGCUGCCCCAGCCCUUUCUCCCCGCUCUCCCCAAAAUCUGCAUGAAGAAGCAAGUAUCUUGUUUGCAAGCUAAAAACUAGAAAUGAUUUAUAUGUUUAUAAGCCCAGCUCUGGCUCUCUUUAUUUUGGCAAAGGAAUUGUUUGCAUCUUUUCAGAAUUCCUUCACCCAAACCACUCAUUAGAUAUGAAUUUCAAAACAGCCAGAGGGAGCGGGUGACUCAGGGGAAUUAGCAAAUGGCUUCCCAAAGCCUUUUACGUCAAGGCCGGCAGCUCCCUUCCAGCCCUUGAUGCCAGUGGCCCAGAAGACACACGCUGUCAUCCAGCGCUGGGUCACCGACCCCAAGCCAGCGGGUGCAUCUGAGGACCUUGGCCUCUGGUCCCCAGCUGGCAGGUGCCUUCGUCACGAGGAACCCCAGCCUGAAGAAGAGGGCCUGGAACCGAUGUCUCCAUCCCAGAGGUUUUGGUGACCACGAGGACCUCGGCUGCGGGCGCUGCCCGUGGAGCUGGGACGUCCCCCCCAGUGCCCAGGGGCACCAGGAGGAUGUCCGAGGGUCCCCGAUGAUGCCAGAUCACCAUGGUGCCCACCUGGCAGCAAGGAAGAAGGCAGCACAUGGUGACAACAGCAGUGCCACCCGCGGGCACGUCCGUGGUGCCCUGGGGGCACACGGCACCUGGGGGACACCGGGCACCUGGGGGUCUGCAGGGCACCUUGGGGGCUCAGGGCCAGCCCCAUGCAGGGGCAGCCUGGUGCUCGUGGUGUUCCUCCAUCCCGCGGUGCCAGGGGGCACCCGCAGCCGUGGUCCUGGUCCCCGUGCCGCUCUCCAGGCUCCGCAGUCCUGCCCCAGCAAACCCGGGCCCUUGUCUCGCAGGCAGAGAUGAAAAUAAACUCCAGUGAAGGGUCCUUUAACUUUCUCUACUCGAGUGAAAAUAAAUGCGAUUUCCCCGCCACCCGGCCUUGUAAAUUCCCCUCACUGUGAAAUAUCUUCCAGAUAUAGUAAAGAGACGGCUUUUGGCUAUUUUUUUAAACAUCUUUAACUGCUGUAUAUAUUUCCAGGGAGACGUAAUAAGCGCUACAGCUAAUUUAUCUGCAUGUACUGUAAAUAUUUUCAGGAGAUAGCAGAAAGGAUUUCAAACACAUGGCUUGGAGGAUUGGCACACAGCAUAUGCUGGGUGGGAAGGACACCUUUAACCCUUCACCUGCCGCUUCCCUUCCCUCCGAGGAUGGCUGGCCACCCCCAUGCCCCCUGUGGCGAGGCUCCCUGUGGAGGGGGGCAGAGGCUGCUGCACCCCCCCGGGGCGCUGGCCCGUGGCUACUGCUCCAGCUGACAUCUGAGUGAACCAGGAGCUGUGGUCCUCCAGCUCAAAACGAGUUUUGGGAAGGGAGCAGCUGCAGUUUUACCCUCUGCAAGUCCCCUGCAGCCCCUGCAGCCCGCGGGUUUCUGCAGACGUCCAAGCCACGGCACCCCGUUACCCCUAAAACGGGCCGGCAGCCUCCUUUGGGUGGCACAUCUCACUCCUCCCCCCUUCACUUGGGACAUUUGUCUCUUCCCAAGCAGACGGAGGUGCAGAGGUGGGGAUGAGGAGCACAGGCAGUGCCCACCACUCGUGGCCUGCUCCUGGCCCCAUCUCUAACACCAUCACCCACCGGGGGCCGUCACCCUUUGGGGGUGGCACCCCCACACGGUGCCACCGCAGGGCACGGGGCUGUCCUCGGGGCAGGGCUGGGGAGGCAGCGGGGAGCUGCUCGGAGCCGUGUCCUCGUGCGAGCCUGUGCCUGGUGUCAGCAGGGAGCUUUGCAAAGCACACGUCUCAGUUCAGUGCCUGCUAAGAGGCAAACCCAGCCCUAUGGCACGCACGGCCCGUCCCGGAGCCGCGGGUCACCGCAGCGGGACCGUCACCCCGUGGAGGGGUUACGGGCUGGCUGGCCAGGCAAACCCACCCUGGGCACCCCUUGCUGCUGCUGCCUGGCCCCAGCAGUGACCUGGGCGAGCCCCGUGGCCCCACAGCCUCUGUCCUGGUGGCUGCAGGUCCCCGUUCGCAUCCCCCGAUCCCUGCUCCCACUGCACCUGCCCGGUGUGGCUGCGGGGGUGACCUGCGGCUUUCUGCUUGCAACGAAGGAGUUUUUUUUUUUCACUUAGGCUUUGUGAUUUGCUCCCAAGCCUCUUUUCUUCAUGAUGUAAUUUAACACAGAGCAAGGACACGGAGUACCUAUUGGCUUGGAGCCCACCCUAAAAACCAUAAAAAGGAGAUAAAAGCCUUUAAAUGCUAAGCCCGUCCGAGGAGACAAUAAAAGGCAAAUGUCUUCCCA
Anas platyrhynchos (mallard) is the source of this 3063-nucleotide long non-coding RNA. RefSeq lists it as uncharacterized. The record is from RefSeq and is a predicted model, not a curated record. NCBI's taxonomy places the organism in Eukaryota, Metazoa, Chordata, Aves, Anseriformes, Anatidae.